GAGUUUGAUCCUGGCUCAGAGCGAACGCUGGCGGCAUGCUUAACACAUGCAAGUCGCACGGGCAGCUUCGGCUGUCAGUGGCGGACGGGUGAGUAACGCGUAGGUAUCUAUCCUCGGGGUGGGGGACAACCACGGGAAACUGUGGCUAAUACCGCAUGAUGACUGAGGUCCAAAGGCGCAAGUCGCCUGGGGAGGAGCCUGCGUCCGAUUAGCUUGUUGGUGGGGUAAAGGCCUACCAAGGCUCCGAUCGGUAGCUGGUCUGAGAGGAUGAUCAGCCACACUGGGACUGAGACACGGCCCAGACUCCUAC
Molecule: ribosomal RNA, 310 nt
Filed under: uncultured Alphaproteobacteria bacterium
Lineage: Bacteria; Pseudomonadati; Pseudomonadota; Alphaproteobacteria
Description: bacterial SSU rRNA
Rfam family: Bacterial small subunit ribosomal RNA
Source: RNAcentral